CAAAAGUUUGGUCCUAGCCUUAUACUCAACUAUUACUUAACUUACACAUGCAAGUAUCUGCACACCCGUGAGAAAGCCCCUACCCCUCUAGAAAGGUAAAGGAGCCGGUAUCAGGAACAAAUAUUUUUCCCACGACACCUAGUUUCGCCACACCUCCAAAGGUAUUCAGCAGUGAUCAACAUUGUCCAUAAGCGCAAGCUUGAGCCAGUUAAAGUAAAUAGAGCCGGCCAAUUCGGUGCCAGCCGCCGCGGCUACCCCGCUUGGCUCAAGUUGAUUCUUUCGGCGUUAAGCGUGGUUAAAGUAACAUAAAUAUACUAGAAUUAAACCAACCCCAAGUUGUGAUACACUUGCCCAAAGAAAUUCAUAAACGAAAGUUAUUCUAUAAAAUACUUGAACCCACGACAGUUGAGAUACAAACUGGGAUUAGGCACCCCACUAUGCCCAACCGUAAAAUAUUUAUUCACACCAUCCCCCGCCAGGAAAUUACGAGCCACCUUAAAACCCAAAGGACUUGACGGUGCCCCAUCCACCUAGAGGAGCCUGUUCUAUAAUCGAUACCCCCCGAUAUACCUCACCACCCCUUGCCCACAGUCUGUAUACCUCCGUCGCAAGCUUACCAUGUAAACGCCAGUAAGCUAAAAGAUAUUUACCAUCAACACGUCAGGUCAAGGUGCAACUAACGGAGUGGAAAGAAAUGGGCUACAAUUUCUAUAAUAGAAUAUACAAAAACCUACAUGCAACAUAGCCUUAAGGCGGAUUUAGUAGUAAAAAGAAAAUAGAAUAUCCUUUUUAAUCAGGCACUGAGGCGCGUACACACCGCCCGUCACCCUCUUCAAAUAUUACUUAUAAGAAGAGGCAAGUCGUAACACGGUAAGCGUACUGGAAGGUGCGCUUGGAUAACC
RNAcentral lists this non-coding RNA (902 nucleotides) under Anilany helenae. Lineage: Eukaryota; Metazoa; Chordata; Amphibia; Anura; Microhylidae. The record is from RNAcentral.